AUGGAGGUGGGGGGAAAAGAAGAGAGACCUAAAGUAAGUACCCACAGCCGCGUCUGGAAGAAGGAGUUAGGUUGUGGGCAGCGCAGCCUGGGUUUGUGCCCAGGAAGCUGAGAGAAGCUGGAAGAAAGCAGCAGACCUCAUGGCAGGUGUCGGCGCACACGUGCUGAGUCUUGCACUCCAAGUGCGUGCUGUUGUGGGUUCCAGCAGUGGGAACCAACUGGAGACAGACCUAAGACUUCAUCAGGAAUUCAUUCCAGACAACUCUUCACCCAUUUACCUGAAACAUAGCAAGGUACCCCGAGGGAAUGUCAGACCAACACCAGGACCACUCUUUACCCUCAGACUCUGAUGGAGACAGCCCAGGAACCUGAGCCCAAGAGCCUUGGGAAUAGCAGUGCCCCCCAAUUCCCAGACCUGCGUCCAGUCCAGUCCCUGUAGCUAUCACUGAAUGGAAAAAUCCUUGUGGAGAUGGGGCUCACCUUCCUUAUCACCAUCAGCAAUAACUUCUGACUAAAUGCUAUCAGUAGGCAGAUAGCACACAAGCCCUGGGGGUGGCUGCAUGCACUCAUCUGACCACCAGUCCUCCUCCAGCACAGCCCUUACAACUGUGAUCUAGGAAGCAACUUCUGUGGAGAGGGGGUCAGCCAUCUCUACCAACCACCACACACAGGCAGACAAGCCCGCCCUCCUGAAGCAGGAGGUUACUCCAAGGGAGAGACAGGAAACAGUAUGUGCCAGGCAAGUCAGACGACCAGCACCUCUUUGACCACUGGCUCCCUUCAUACCCUGACGGAGGCAGACUAGGACCCUGAGCCCAAGAGCCUUGGGAAGAGUGUUGCUUCCAGCCCAGCUCCCUCAGCCAUCAUUCAUGGAAGCAACCCCUGCAGUGAUGCAGCCUGACUGCUCCUGGAGGGGCUACAUCCACAGCUACCCAAGACUUGAAAAGAAAGUUCUGGCCACCCAAGUCCUUGGCACUGUCAAAUGGUUCAACAUCAGAAACUUAGUGUGAUUUUAUUAGUAGAAAUAACAUUAAAGAAGAAGCAUCAUAGGACUUUUUCAUCUGACUUGCACCUGAAAACCUUUUAUGUAUAUUGUCUCUCCAUUAAAAUAUGAGCAACCUUGAGAUCAGGGACUGUCUUACUUUUCUGUUUGUGUCUGUAGAACUCAGCACUUUGUUUUGCACAUAGUAAGCACUUAAUAAAUGCUUCAUUUAUUCAUUUUGUGAGAUAAACAACAGAAAUGGGUUACAUAUGGAAAGUACUUUGCAGACUUUAAAAACAUAAAUGUCAUAAAUAAAACAUAAAUGUCAGCUGUUAUUAUUUUUUGUAAUGUCCUUAUUUAGUGAGAUACCAAAUUCUCUUGGAUUUGGAAGCUAUUUUCUGAAAAUAUGAGAAAGGACAGAACCCGGGGGAAUUUUUCUUGGUCUAAUAGGACCUCAGAUUCAAUAUCCAUCCUUGGUAAGUACAGGGAAAAGGGACCGCACAGUGGUUGUUGGGAGAGGCGGAUUUUUUUUAAAAUUUGUUAAUAUCUUUUGUUUUGCUGUUUCUCAUGACACCCCUCUCCCAGUCCUGAACGUUCUCACUGUCUGUCCCCUAUAUAUUUUAGAAAUGAGGCCUUUAUCAGAGACACUAACU
This is a long non-coding RNA of Vombatus ursinus (common wombat), 1634 nucleotides long. RefSeq lists it as uncharacterized. The record is from RefSeq and is a predicted model, not a curated record. Lineage: Eukaryota; Metazoa; Chordata; Mammalia; Diprotodontia; Vombatidae. The transcript has 3 exons.